RNAcentral lists this long non-coding RNA (704 nucleotides) under Rattus norvegicus (Norway rat). RNAcentral describes it as "long non-coding RNA NONRATT005575". The record is from RNAcentral. Lineage: Eukaryota; Metazoa; Chordata; Mammalia; Rodentia; Muridae.
ACAGCAAGCCCUACGACCACCCACAGGCCCACCACAACCAGCCACAGGCCCACCACAACCAGCCACAGGCCCACCACCACCAGCCACAGGCCCACCACCACCAGCCACAGGCCCACCACCACCAGCCACAGGCCCACCACCACCAGUCAUGGGAAUGCCACAGUUUCUCCCACCACAAACAGUCCAGGCUUCUCCACUGUUGGCCCUCACCCUGGACCACCUCCGCCCUCACCAAGUCCUAGUCCAAGCUCUACUGGGGCUCUUGGAAACUACACAUGGACUAAUGGUUCCCAGCCAUGUGUUCAGCUCCAAGCCCAAAUUCAAAUUCGCAUCUUGUACCUGACCCAGGGUGGAAAAAAGGCCUGGGGCCUCUCUGUAUUGAACCCGAACAAAACCAAGGUCCAGGGGGGCUGUGACAGUGCCCAUCCCCACUUGGCUCUCUCAUUCCCUUACGGACAGCUUACCUUUGGAUUCAAACAGGUAUACAGCUUGAAUUUGUCUUCCUCCUUCACUCUUCUAUAUCCCACCCCUAGACCCCCUAAGCCUCCUCCUUGCUCUAUGGACAUGGAUGCCACUGUCCCUGAUGCCUUGAGCCUUUCUGUUCACCUCAAGGACCGACAUCAGAGCCACAGUACAGUCUACCUUAACUACAUGGCAGUGGAAUACAAUGUGUCCUUCCCACAAGCAGCACGUGAGCAACCUCU